AACAAGGAUUCCCCUAGUAACGGCGAGUGAAGCGGGAAGAGCUCAAAUUUGAAAUCUGGUGGCCUCAGGUCAUCCGAGUUGUAAUCUAUAGAAGUGUUUUCCGUGCUGGCUCAUGUACAAGUCCCUUGGAACAGGGCGUCAUAGAGGGUGAGAAUCCCGUCCUUGACAUGAACUACCAGUGCUCUGUGAUACAUUUUCAACGAGUCGAGUUGUUUGGGAAUGCAGCUCAAAAUGGGUGGUAAAUUCCAUCUAAAGCUAAAUAUUGGCGAGAGACCGAUAGCGAACAAGUACCGUGAGGGAAAGAUGAAAAGCACUUUGGAAAGAGAGUUAAACAGUAUGUGAAAUUGUUGAAAGGGAAACGAUUGAAGUCAGUCGUGCUCUUUGGAUUCAGCCGGUUCUGCCGGUGUACUUCCUUUGAGUGGGGUCAACAUCAGUUUUGAUCGCUGGAUAAAGGCAGGAGGAACGUAGUACCCUCGGGUAAACUUAUAGCCUCUUGUCACAUACAGUGGUUGGGACUGAGGAACGCAGCACGCCUUUAUGGCCGGGAUUCGUCCACGUACGUGCUUAGGAUGUUGACAUAAUGGCUUUAAACGACCCG
RNAcentral lists this ribosomal RNA (598 nucleotides) under Filobasidium oeirense. Its description in RNAcentral is "eukaryotic LSU rRNA". It matches the Rfam family "Eukaryotic large subunit ribosomal RNA", at positions 67 to 651 of the family's 3401-position model. The record is from RNAcentral. Lineage: Eukaryota; Fungi; Basidiomycota; Tremellomycetes; Filobasidiales; Filobasidiaceae.